AUGCAUGGAACCUCUUAGCAUUAUUAGAUUAUUGAACCCCAAUAAUGGAUCAAACCUAGGAAGAAUAACCAAAACAUCAAAGAACUCCCCACAAAAUUAAAUCUAAUCAAAUAUUAAAUGUGUUUACUAGUCUCUACUAGUGAAGGGAAAUCCGAAAGGUUGACAAACCAAUCCACAUCAUUCAACCAAGCAUGCUGAUGAGUGAUGAAGGGAUAGAAACAAGCUUGUCAA
Long non-coding RNA from Ipomoea nil (Japanese morning glory), 231 nucleotides. RefSeq lists it as uncharacterized. The transcript has 4 exons. The record is from RefSeq and is a predicted model, not a curated record. NCBI's taxonomy places the organism in Eukaryota, Viridiplantae, Streptophyta, Magnoliopsida, Solanales, Convolvulaceae.